Ceratitis capitata (Mediterranean fruit fly) is the source of this 7846-nucleotide long non-coding RNA. RefSeq lists it as uncharacterized. NCBI's taxonomy places the organism in Eukaryota, Metazoa, Arthropoda, Insecta, Diptera, Tephritidae. The transcript is spliced from 3 exons. The record is from RefSeq and is a predicted model, not a curated record.
CCCCGCAAAACUUAAAAACGUUGGCGCCUUGGCUCCCAAGUCACUGUUGACAGUCAUAACUUCGAGGUCGUCAAAAAUUUCGUCUCUAGGGUCUUGUGUUAACACCAAUAAUAAUGUCAGCUUUGAAAUCCAACCUAGAAUAACUCUUCCCAACAUGUGCUACUUUUGAUUAAAUAUUUAAUUGAAAAGUCCUCUCUCGGCGAACGAAAACCAAACUCUCCAAGUUGCUCAUCAUACCCGUCCUACUAAAUGUGUGUCUGAUGUCUACACCUGAUAAGUCGGCAUAAGAAGUCUUUUGCGAACGAUUUAUGGUCUUUUGCGCAUUGACAACGAAUACUUGAAACGAUGGAACGAUGAGCUGUACGAGCUAUAUGAUGAUAUUGACAUAGUUCAGCGAAUAAAGAAACAGCGGCUACGCCGGCUAGGUCAUCUCCUCCAAAUGGUUGAAAGCACUCCAGCUUCGAAAGUAUACGAUGCAGCACCCGCUGGUGGAAGCACUCCGUUGCAACGAUCAGGUGGAGAGUGACCUGGCCUCACUUGGUAUUUCCGACUGGCGACAAACAGAGCAAGAAAAGGGAUGAAUGGUGCGCUAUAAUUAAUUUGGCUAUAAUCGCAUAAGCGGUGCCAACGACAAUAAUGAAGAAGAAGAAUAAGCAAUAUAUUAUUUUUUAAACGGCGGUGCCAAAGGUUUUUGAAUUACGAUCAAUACAAACCAUUGUAGUAUAUGCGAGCAUUCAAGCAAUGGAUGCAUAUUACCGAUAUCAUAGCAUGGCCAUUUGAUUCAACCACCUACACGCGCGCACGGCGUAUCUUAUAGCUGCAUCUCCCUGUUACAUUAUAAACCUAACUUUAUCGUGAAAAUAAUAAUUAAAUAAAAAAUUAAUUACUUAAAGUGUUUGUGCACCCAAGUGAAGAUAAACAUAUUUUUUUUUUAUUUAUCUCGGCUAAUUGGCACCAGACUCAAGGCAAGUUAACUACCGAGGAAUUUUUGGUAAAUAAACAUAUUUAGUUAAAGUCAAAAAGAAAAGUUAACUGAGUGCGUACAUCGGAAAACGUCUACGAAAUAUAGACACAACAUUUGCAAGUUUCAGUUCGUCCUCUGAAGACACCGAAAAUAAAUAUCAUGAGAAGUGUUGCAACUGUGAGAAUACUCUCGACUGGUGUCACAAUUUAAAGAGUAUGGAAAUUUAACCCAAAAAUGGAGAAAAUUCAACGAAAUAUGUUCUUCAACGCAAAUGGUAGUGGAAAAUGCAUUUGGACUGUUGAAAGAACGUUUCCGAAGACUGCUUAGUUUAACAAAAACAAACACAUUUGAAGGUGACUACCAAAAGAAUGUGUGUUGUAAAUAACAUUUGCAUUACUUUUGACGAUUUUCGCGAUGUCAAUGAAGCAAACGAUAAGGACAAACGAACUUUCUUUGUUCUAAAAGAGCAAAUGGAGGAGUCAAGCUUGCCGUGCGAGCGAAGUUUUCAAAUAAUAAAAAAGCCGUUGACAAAUAAGUCUGAUUAGAAAUCGUGGUUGUUUCCGAAGUAGCAGCUAUAACUUCGUCCAAAACUGUUAUUGUAAUGGUCAGACAUUUCCAUAAAACUUGAAAUCAAAAACCUUUUUAAUUAUUAAAAAAAAAAAAUUAUAUUAAAAAUACAGUAUUUUUAUAUGAUGAUAUGAGGAGCAGCUAUCCUUUGAAUAUAUUUGGUUUCAAAGCGCUAAAUAAAUCUCUAAACUAAAUAACUAAGAUCGGUUGUUGCGUUGUUUUUCUCGACUGUUGUUUUAAAAAGCAAUACGGCAGUUUUAAGCAAAGAAACUACAGCAUUGCGAAUGCUGUUGCUGCAAAGUCAAUUAAAAAGAUUAUUCAAAUCUUCAUACGUGCAAUAUUACAUGUAUUGUACAUUUGCAUUAUGUAGCUACUUAGGUAUGUAACAAUAUACACAUUAAUUGUAUGUAACAGUUUAGUUUAAUAGUCAUACAAAACUCGUGCGAUAUAUCAAAUGUUUAAUAGCUAGUCGUGACGGUACUAACAUAUUACCGUUUUUUAGUUUUUAUCAGCCGAAAGCAAGAGCGAUAGCAAAACGAUCCUGCUCUACUGCUUAAUUUGGUCUCACUGCUCUAGGGUUCACAGCAAAGCGACAGUCGCAGUCAUUGUUUUUACAUGAAAAGCGUACCAAAAUGUUGAAGUCUGCCAAAUAUUGUUUUAUGGCAGAUUUUAAGAAUGCAGGGUUGCAUUGUAAUAAUGCGGUUGCGUUUUGGAACUCAGUUUACUUUAGUGCCGCUAUGCACAUUUUGACAAUCAAAGAAGAAACAAAACUAAAUACUUGCAAGUGUUAAUUAUGGAAGCAAAUGAAUAGCAGAAAAUUGCUGUUGCUGUUCAAAUGUUAGUUGUAGUACUUAGCUUAGAAGGUUUUACAUUUUAAAGGGGAAUGUGGGGAAAUGUUGUGUUUCUUUUUACUUAUCGUCUUUGUUUUACAGGUUGGAUUUGGUGGUUAAGGUAAAAAUCGUAUUCGAGCUAAAAAGCAAGUGUAACUAAAAUCCGUAUACAUCUUCUUCGUAAAGUAUUAGUAAAGUAACAGUUUUUUAUAUAAUUUUACACGAAAUGAAUGGGGAUAACGUUGAUGAAACACGUGACUCGUCACUUCUCCAUUUUAAAUACCAGCACACAAAUCAGCAAAUAUGAGGUAUUCGAGGUAUAAAUAGUGAAGAAGAAAAUUUUCAUCAUGCGGUUUCUCUCAUCGUCCGGAGUCGAAGUGCAAGAUAUAACUCUGCUUCCCCCGACAUCUACGGCUUAUUCGACGCUGACACAUAAUCUCAUCGAGGGUUAACAAAAUCGAAAGAUGCCAAGUUGCCUGAGUUGCUGGACGGUGAGCAAAUUGGGGAUCACACCUAAUCGCAAUUCCUUCGUCAUCUAUGCAACUUAUGCCCUGACGUGCCACAUAACAUGCUAAAAACAAGGUGGUAGUCUCACCUACGUGCACAAACACGUGCCAGUCUCGCUGUGCAGCUAAACGCAUCUUUGGAAGACCUUGGCCGCCUUAUCGACAAAAUAUGUAAGUGAGAUGAUGCCAGGUGGAACACACUCCAUUGCCGCUAUCUCUCAGGCUCAUUUGGGUUAAUAGUGGCGUUGAAUGGCUGUCAUACAAAAUCGCGCCACAUAUUCUUUAUAGAUCGUACUUCUGUAAUACAAUUUCUUGUGGACACAGAUGCUGAUAUUUCGGUACUUCCAUGCUCUCAAAUUAAGUCAAUUUUAACUUCGGUUGGCAGCUGUAUUCAGCGUCAGCGUAAAUCAUUGAAACAUAGGGUUAUUCCGUGCUCACGAUCAACUUCGGUUUGCGCCGCGAUUUUACUUGGCGAUUUAUUAUCGUCGAUGUCUCUAAGCUCAUUAUCGGGGCGGACUUUAUUAGCCACUUUGGUUUAGUAAUGGAUUUAAAAUACAGUAGAAUCAGUGACGAAAGUAGGUACUACUUGCACCGUCCAAAUGGAGCAAACUCCUCCAACUGUUUCAAUAAACGGUACUUGUGGCGAAUCACCUUAUAUGUAAUUAGUGAAACAAUUUUCUUCCACCACUAAGCCUGUUGCAGCAUUCCAAUUAAUGAAGAAUGCCACCGUGUAUCACAUCAAAACUAAUAACGGCCCGUUGAUUUCAAGUAAAGCGCGACAACUUGUGCCUCAUAAACUUAAAAUAGAUAAAGAGGAAUUCGCGGAAAUGGUAAAAGCGGGCAUCGCUCGUACAUCACAUAGUGGUAUAGUCUUCACCACAACAUUUAGCACUAAAAGGUCUGGAGAAUAACGACCGUGCGAUGACUAUCAUCGUCUCAACGAUAGAAAUUUCCUUAUCGAUAUAUAGAUCUAGUAGGAGCGUUCAACCAAAUCCCGGUUACGAGCGAAGAGAUUUAAAAACCGCUAUAAUCACGCCAUCCGAGUUAUUCGAGUUUCCAUUCAGGUCCUUGGGCUAGAGAAACGAAGGCCAAAUAUUUCAACGUUUUAUUGACAAAGUUACUCGCGACCUGCCUUUUGUUUUUCCGUACAUCGAAGACCUUCUUAUUGCUACACAUAUCGAUCGCUAGUAUCUUGAGCAUCUUUAAACGCUUUUUCAAUGACCUCAGGAUUUUGGCUUGGUAAUCAAUACGGCUAAAUCAUGUUUUGGCCACCCAAUAACGUGUAAUGGAAUCAAGCCACUAUCUAAAAAGGUCAGAGCCAUAAGAGAGUUGUCACUACCAACAAUAGUAAAAAACUUCGUGGAUUUCUCGGAAUUAUAUCGAAAAUUCACAAGGAACGGCGGGGUAUUACUAGCUCCAUUCAACGAAGUCAUUUCUGGUACCAAGAUCAAGAGUACACAACAAAUACGCUAGACAAAUGAACUUCGAAACGCUUUCGAUCAGUUAAAAGAAGCUUUAUCGAAUUGCGAAGAAUUACGAAUAGCUCACACAGACGUUGGCGCAGAAUUAGCCAUAUUUACAAACGCAUCCAAUUUUGCAAUCGGUGCUGUACUGCUAAGUAGGUUUUGGCAACCUCUUGCGUUAUCAGUCGAAGGCUUUCAGUAUCCAUCAGUAAACUCUUCACGUAUGAUCGCGAGCUCCAUGCGAUAUACGAGGCUGUUAAAUACUUCCGAUAUAUGUUUAAGCGUCGGCAUAUAACUAUUUAAAAUGACCACAAGGCGUUGCAGCAAGUUUGUGAGCAGCGAGAAGAGCGUGCUUCUCCUAGGCAGUGGAUAAGCCAGUUCACAAUAGACAUUAAACACGUACGUGGGGAAACUAACAUCGUAGCAGACACGUUCUCACGCGUCGAUACCAUUUCCAUUCCUUACCGUCGCGCCGAGAAGAGCAAUAUUUGGUUCACUGCACUCUCUAUAUCAUUCGGAAAUACGAUGCUUACAAAAAUUGGUGACGAACAGAUAUAUAUGGCCCCAGAUCCAUAAAGAUUUUCGUAUUUGGGCGCGAGUUUGCAUCGAGUGUCAAAGAAAUAAAGUACAGCGUCAUGUCGUUAUUCCUAUUGCCAAUGCAGCGUUUCGAGCACAUUCAUUUGGACCUAAUAUCAUUACCUUCAGUGAGAGUAUACCGUCAAUGUCUUACCAUAAGAGAUCGUUGCACGCGUUUUCCUGAAGAAAUACCACUAGGAAAUGGCAAUAUGGAAAUAAUCAAGCGUGCCACUCCAAAUAACUUUCGAUCGUCGUGGACAACUUAAAUCAGCUCUGCUUCGCAAACUUGCUGAUUUAUUUGGAAUUCCUCGUGUAAAGACUAAACCCUGUCAUCCCCAAGCCAACGGACUUGUAGAAAGAUUGCAUCGACAAUUAAAAUCAGCCUAUGUCACAAAGAAGCUUGGUAUGACGCGCUUCCAAUAGUUCUCAUGAGUUUACGAGCAUCGUAAAAAAAUGACAUUUCAACGACACCGGCUGGUGUCUCAAGUGCGUCAAGGACAAACAGAGCCAUCUUUUAGUGCCUCACACCAAGGACCAUAUCGCGUCUUAUCGUGACACGUUACACCUUUCUAUAUCGAAAUACAAGGACAACGUACUCCCGUCUCAGUAGACCGUCUCAAACCUGUCUUCGAAGCAUCGACCGAAAAACAAAUCACCACAACAACUAAUAAUAGGAAAACAACAAGGCGUGUUCUUUUGGCAGACGAUUCGUAACCUAUUUAGACGAUGAAAAUUUAUGAUUAUAUAAACUAAGUUAAGCCUAUCAUUGUUACAUUUUUUUUAUUUGAUUUUAAAACUAAAGAAAACACAACAAGGGGAGCUGAGUGGCAUACUUGCUACUCUACUGAACCAAUGGCAGCUCUUUCUCGGACUGGAAAUUAACUUUAAGCCUCUCAGUGGAAAAAGAGUAGUAUUGUUGUAAUGCCUUUAGUAGUUUGAUAUUUCCUUCACAAAACGGAACCUUGAUAAUUCUGUUUUCGCUACAUAUAUAUAUAUAUUCAUUUUCAAGUGAUAAUAUUCUUAUUAUCGGGGUGUGAUGGUGUAUAGGGUGUAUAGGGUGUAGUAAAGCUUCUGGUUAUGCUGUUACAUUUGCGAAGCUGUACUCUUGCGUCAACAUUGCGCUCCCUGGAAGAGGAGCAAUCCUUGUGUAACCAACCCGUGUAGAGGCUUGGGUCACGGCUAACGAGAGAGGAAGUUUCAGUGAAGCCACUCCAACUUAUUCGGUUUAAGCGCACGCUGAAAUCUAAUUGCAGCGUCUGUUCAUUAGAGGUGCGGCUGCGAGCGGGCAUCGGUUUUGAAGCAAGCGGAUCGCUAUAUAAAUAUGUACAAAGUUUAAACCUACUCGCUUAGCGAGGCUAUGCGCUAAGAUAAUAACGCCUCGGAUGAGGCCCCUUUCUGUUGACGAUCACCGCAAAAGAACAAAGGGACACGAUUUGAGGGCAUUCACCUGCAAUGUCCAGACGUGCUUGGCUAAUUUAAUGCCACAAAGACACCUUAUUUGGUACGACUGUUGGAAAAGUCAGUCAAGGUCUUCCCAUUUGAGGUGCGUACGGUCUUAUAAAUUGCCAUGAGAAGCCGUUGAUUGCGUAUUUACUGAUGACAUCCAUUGAGACUUCGCUACAAACGCUUUAAUUGAUUUGCAACGAGCAAAUGCUGCUUUAAAAGCUACUGCGCCUGGGUCAGAGGAAAGUUUGAGAUGUAACAACUAUGUGACGAAGCACACAAAGUCGCAGACGUAUGGCUUGAAACAGGAUGUUCGUUGAAGCGUUGAUGUUUUGACGAGAAAUAUGUAAUUGGCGCUUUGCAACCGCUGAAGCGAUUUUCCGCCGAGCCCCUCCUCCAAUUUGAGAAUUUGCGUUUCGAUUUUUUUCUAACUAAUGGAGGUACCUCCAGUUGAUACUAAGCUGCUUCCGAACGACUGACGGUUUUUUUUAUGAAGAGCUUUAUUUCAUGUCAGAAAUACACUUUGAGGGGUUGACGAGAAAUGGUCCAGCAAAAUCAACGUCAGUAGUUUGGAAGGGUAGUGAAUAAGAUUCACGUUCAAGGGGUAACGCAGCCAUCGUUAGGAACUUAGUUUUCUGAAUGAAUAGUGUGCAAGUUUUGCAAUGAAAUGUACAGGUUCUUAGGCGCGGGAUUUAAUACUCUUGUUGAUCAUUAGUUGCCGUUCCCCGUGAAGAAGUGUGCAGUGUAGGAAGGUCAGCGAUAUUCAUUAUAGAUGAGCGCGGUGUGAGUGAGCCUACCAUUCGCUCGUAAUACACCUAAUUUAUCUAAAAAAAGGUUCAAAGUCAACAACGAGUCAUUUUGGUCGAUAUGUUCUGCAGCGGAGAUUGCUGAGCUGUAGUACUUUUGCUGAUGACAAGCAUAUUUGCCAGGUUCAUUUCUUCACAAGUUAAAGUUAACGAAGAGGGGGUAGGAAUCCGUCUUGCCAUAUUUUUAAAACGGAGAGUGAAGGCUCUUAAGUAGGAGGAUAACUAAUCUAAGACAUCAAUUUUGUCUGUUUUUUUUUUUUGCUGAUCUGGAGGAGCAGAGUAUGCUGGGGCAAUUUUUCUCCAGAAUUCCGUACACUUGACUAACCAGUCAGGGUCCAGUCUACCAAAGAGAGCAGUUUACGAGGAGUUGGGGUUCGAUACCACGCAUACCUAGGAUGAUUGGGUUACUGGAUGUGGCCACUAGUCGCAGUUCUUAUAUUCUAAAAGAUUUGUGAUAUCCUUUUAGAGACAUAUGUCUUUCACGUUCAUGAGGUUUUUUCUAGCCAGGCCAGCACAAUGGAACAAUCGAGUUGAGACUGAACUUGAUUUAUAUAGCAAGGUCGCAAUAACAAAUUAUGAAUAUUUAAGUUGCCAUAAAAAGUCUGAUGAAGAGAUGUGGAGAUCAUUGAAACAGCUGUCACUUCUACCAUUUUUCUUUUUUGCAUAACAAAAAUAUUCAAUUCAUACAAAA